Molecule: ribosomal RNA, 406 nt
Filed under: uncultured bacterium
Lineage: Bacteria
Description: partial 16S ribosomal RNA
Rfam family: Bacterial small subunit ribosomal RNA
Source: RNAcentral
AUUGAACGCUGGCGGCAGGCCUAACACAUGCAAGUCGAACGAGUGGCGGACGGGUGAGUAAUGUCUGGGAAACUGGAUGAUGGAGGGGGAUAACUAGUGGAAACGGUAGCUACUACCGCAUACCACCGGAUGUGCCCAGAUGGGAUUAGCUAGUAGGUGGGGUAAAGGCUCACCAAGGCGACGAUCCCUAGCUGGUAUGAGAGGAGGACCAGCCACGAUGGUACGGAGACACGGUCUAACCUCCGACGGGAGGCAGCAGUGGGGAAUAUACCACAAUGGGCGCAAGCCUCAUGCAGCCAUGCCGGGUGUAUGAAGAAGGCCUUCGGGUUGUAAAGUACUUUCAGCGGGGAAGCGUUACCCGCAGAAGAAGCACAGGCUAACUCCGUGCCAGCAGCCGCGGUAAUUC